GAUUGGAUUCCUUUCUGACUGCUUUAGCCACUAGUCCAUCCCUCUCUUGAGAGCCUUGCUAGGGCAGAGGUGAGCCCCAAGGAGCAGCAGGGGGAGAGCUUUGCUCCACCCUCUGUGCUGAGGUUUAGAGGCUGCUUUGAGCUGGCAGAGGGGGAAGUGAACUUGCAAGCUUGAGCUCCCUCUUUCCAGGCACUACGUGGGCACCCUGUGAAGGCGAGAGCGUGACAUGGUCCUGCUUUUCCUGGCAGCCUUGUUGGCACUGUCAGACUUUGGUCAUGCACAGAAGGACUCUGUGGUGCAGUUUGCACAAGAAACUGCCAUCCAGGUGGGACACAACGCUACUCUGCACUGCAAUUUCUCCACCAGCUACUCUGCUCCCUACAUCUUCUGGUACCAGCAGCGCCUGACCCAGUCCCCUCAGUUCUUGCUGCAGGUGAGCAAGUUCAAGCCUCAUGUGCAUUCUGAGAGGAUCUCCUCUGUGCUCUCCAUGGAGAACUCCCAGGUGCUUCUCCACGUGCAAGAUGCCAAGCUCCAGGACAGCGCUGUCUACCUGUGUGCACUGAGCCCACACUGGUGCCCUCAGCUUGCAGCUUUAUACAGGAAGGUGUGGGUGCUGUGAGGUGCAGUUCCGUCUCAUCACAGUUUGCAUAGCGCUCUGAGCUGAGCCUGCCCAGCAAGGACACCUGGGGCUUGUGGUGAGCCAGGUGUGAGUGGCAGCCCCUGCUCCUGAUGCCUGGCAGUGUGGUUAGCAUAACCAACAGCAAGGCAAAUAUCCAUCAUGUGGAAGGGGCUGUUAAUGUGCACCCCUGCCUCCUUGUCUCUCCCUCUCACUGGCCCCAGCAUGCCGAGAUACCCACCAUUGUGGCGAGAAAGGGCAUUGGUGUUAUCAAGCUAGUAAUCAAACCAGCAAUUUAUUUGUAGUAAGCUUUAGGAUUUUGUAGUAAUUUUUAGUAUUUCUAGUAAUUUAUUAUAUAAUAAUAAAUCUCUAGUUACAACCACAACCAGUGGCCGGUCCUCAUUCCGCCAAGGAUCCGUAGAGAACCUGCCAGUGCUCUGUAGUGUUGGGAGACAGAGCUGGGUGUAGUCAGCAGGAGCCUUGUGUUAGAAUAAUGAAUGGUUCCCUUGAGAAAUGGGCCCCACUGUGAAAGGGUUUUCUUGGAAAUGGAAGGCAAGAUGCAAAGCAGCAAUGGCUAAGCUCAAUACACCACAAUCCAAAUCCUUCUAGGAAUGAAUUUAAUAAAUGGAAAGAUACAUGUACAGUAAGGAAAGAGAAAAGGAAAGAAGGAGAGUUAGCUGGCUGUUAGCUGCAAUGUGGAAAAUUGAGAAGGAGUGGGCUGGAAGGCGAUCAGGCCCAGUCAGCAUGAGUUUAUGAAAGGCAGGUCCUGCUUGACGAACCUGAUCUCCUUCUAUGACACAGUGACGCUCUGGGUGGAUGAGGGAAAGGCUGUGGAUGUGGU
This is a non-coding RNA of Anas platyrhynchos (mallard), 1457 nucleotides long. Lineage: Eukaryota; Metazoa; Chordata; Aves; Anseriformes; Anatidae. The record is from the annotation of a RefSeq genome assembly.